UACGUAGGGGGCUAGCGUUGUCCGGAAUCAUUGGGCGUAAAGAGCGUGUAGGCGGCCAAGCAGGUCCGCUGUGAAAACUCGAGGCUCAACCUCGAGACGUCGGUGGAAACCGUUUGGCUAGAGUCCGGAAGAGGAGAGUGGAAUUCCCGGUGUAGCGGUGAAAUGCGCAGAUAUCGGGAAGAACACCCGUGGCGAAGGCGGCUCUCUGGGACGGUACUGACGCUGAGACGCGAAAGCGUGGGGAGCGAACAGG
This 253-nucleotide ribosomal RNA is filed under the name uncultured bacterium. RNAcentral's name for it is "partial 16S ribosomal RNA". It matches the Rfam family "Bacterial small subunit ribosomal RNA", at positions 524 to 776 of the family's 1533-position model. The record is from RNAcentral.